UGACCAUCCUGGUGGGUAAGCAUGGC
RNAcentral lists this unclassified non-coding RNA (26 nucleotides) under Mus musculus (house mouse). Its description in RNAcentral is "oocyte_clustered_small_RNA10416". Lineage: Eukaryota; Metazoa; Chordata; Mammalia; Rodentia; Muridae. The record is from RNAcentral.